CCUACGGGAGGCAGCAGUAGGGAAUCUUCCACAAUGGGCGAAAGCCUGAUGGAGCAACGCCGCGUGGGUGAAGAAGGUCUUCGGAUCGUAAAACCCUGUUGUUAGAGAAGAAAGUGCGUGAGAGUAACUGUUCACGUUUCGACGGUAUCUAACCAGAAAGCCACGGCUAACUACGUGCCAGCAGCCGCGGUAAUACGUAGGUGGCAAGCGUUAUCCGGAUUUAUUGGGCGUAAAGGGAACGCAGGCGGUCUUUUAAGUCUGAUGUGAAAGCCUUCGGCCUAACCGGAGUAGUGCAUUGGAAACUGGGGGACGUGAGGGCAGAAGAGGAGAGUGGAACUCCAUGUGUAGCGGUGAAAUGCGUAGAUAUAUGGAAGAACACCAGUGGCGAAGGCGGCUCUCUGGUCUGUAACUGACGCUGAGGUUCGAAAGCGUGGGUAGCGAACAGGAUUAGAUACCCUUGUAGUC
RNAcentral lists this ribosomal RNA (465 nucleotides) under uncultured bacterium. RNAcentral's name for it is "partial 16S ribosomal RNA". It matches the Rfam family "Bacterial small subunit ribosomal RNA", at positions 338 to 795 of the family's 1533-position model. The record is from RNAcentral.